Molecule: ribosomal RNA, 363 nt
Filed under: Triticum aestivum (bread wheat)
Lineage: Eukaryota; Viridiplantae; Streptophyta; Magnoliopsida; Poales; Poaceae
Description: partial small subunit ribosomal RNA
Source: RNAcentral
AUGAUGCAGAAACGAAGUGAGAUUCGCCCCCAAGGCUGCGCUUGGCUAAAUGCCCCAGCUGCUACGACGCCGAUGCCCCAUUAUCCACCACCCAACGGACGCACCAACAACACCAUCUUAUUUCUGUGGCCUUGGACGCGUCAGUUGCCGGACAGUCUGUGCGCAAUGCAGGGUGUGAGUUGUCCAUCGAUCGUCAUGCUCCCCACGCUCAAGGAACAAAAAAAAAAGUGCCCAUAUCCAGUGUAUCAGUUGGGCCUCCCGUCCACGUCCAGCUUAUUUUCUUUCCAGUCGUCUCCAGCUGAUUUUGGUACUCUUCCAGGUUUUUUCCCUAGAAGCCGGCUCUUCAACGAGCCUACGCAAUAA